CUGUUGGGAUACCCAUUCAAAUGGGAGUUGAUUGAGGAUUUUUAACUUAGGAUUUAAUUAAUUUAAACCUAAGUUUUAUUUCUUUUUCUCCUUAUUUCUCUCCAGUCACGUCGAAUCUUCUCCUCAUCUCCUCCGCGAUCUUGCUUCUCCCGAUUCACGGUUGUCGGCGCACUCCUCCCUUCCAAAUCUGCCACCAUUGUCUCCGAGCCAUCCCUUACGCGGGUCGUCUCUAGCCAAAAGCAGGGAGUCACUGUCGCCUUUCUCAUUGCUCCGGUGUCAUCACCGAUGGGAAGGGGGGCUAUGAGGUCACUUCAUCACAGUCGAUUCCACCUCUUCAGCCGAUGCCCUAGUUGACGAUCCAUAAUCGACGGAGCGUGUUGGUUAUCUGCUGGAAGUCAUCGAUCGCGUUGGAUCUGCGCUCGACAUCGCCACCACUUCUCGAGCCCUAGAUUCGGUUCAUUGUCGCAACCUUCUUCUUGAUUUGAUUUCACCGUGGAUGUGGGUGAUCACCACCCAUUCUCUCCAGCCGAUCGCCGCAAAGCUUUGGAGACGUCUUGAGAGUUGAUCACCAACGCACCACUUCUAGCGACCACCCGAGUCAAUCGUGGCAAAUCUGCUCCCUUGGGCAUCUUUGUCCCUUUGCUGAUGCUAUGUCAGCAAAUCAAGCAAUAGUCGCUCUUCUUGUUGGUUGAUCCAUAGAAGGGAAACCCAUGCCACCACAAAUGGGGUUCUGUUCGAGUGCCACCUCCAAGGGGUGAGCAUUCAAGUGUGUUGUGGAUUUUUGUUGAAUCGAUCAUGGGUUUCAUAAGCGCAUCCUAUUGUUGGGGAUUCAGUGGGAGAAGAGGUGGUUGAUAUUGGAGGUAAAUUGUUAGUUAGAUGUUAUGAAUUAAGAAUUUGAGUUGAAUUCUUGGUUGUAGUUGUAUUAAUAUUAAAUUGGGAUGUUUGAAUAGAAAGGGGCAGCAGUUUUACCUACUCAAACUAGCAAUACCGAUAGUGAUUUUCUCCAGUUGUGAAGCAUCAGUUGAAGCUUUAUACUUGGGUGAGUUCGAAAGUUGAUUUCGUGUUUACAUUAGAUUGGAUUAGUGUGUUGAUUAGUGAGCUUUGGAUUGAUUAUGCUUGUAGUAAAUCCUAAUUGGAAGGGGAAAUGAUUGGGGAUGCUUAAUCUAUUUGGUUAUGGAUUAGAGAUCCAUUUGUGAGUUAAUUUCUCUAGUUAGGUUAAUUUGGAUGAUAGCAUGAUCAUUAUCAAGAUAUUAGAAGGAUUAAACCUAAUCUAGUGAGAGUUAUAUAUUGAGUUAAAUCUAACAAGAUUAAUGAAAUUGGUUAACUAUUAGAUUUAGGAUUAAUAAUUAAAAUAGAAUUAAUGUAUAGAUUCCUAAUCAGAUUAGGGUUCAGUUAACUAUUUGGUUCAUGAUGGAUUUAGCUAACUAGUUCAUACUUGAUUAGUUAUAUCAUACACUAUAAAGACGGGUAUUUCUUCCUUGGUCUCUAUAUAGUUCUUUGAAUUUAGUGCAUGGUUAUUAUUUGAUGGAUUAUGCUAUUUUAUCUUAAAUCGUGUUUGUUUGCUGUUUUUUCUGCUUGAUACUUAUGUUUGAUCUAUGAGGUGAUCUAAUUAUAUCAUAUACGGUCUCGACUCUUGAUAUUCAUACUCUAUUGUGUAAACACACGUAGAGUAUGUAUUGUAGGGAUGUUUGGUUGAUUGAGUUAAUAUGCUGAUUAUGCAUAUCUUUGUUGAUUGUACACAUGGUUGGUAUGUGUUGUAGGAGUCACGUAAUUGACUAUCCGUUUGCAUAUUGUGUUUGUACAUAUGUUUAGUGUUUGCUAUUGGAGGAUACAUGUUGAUUGGACCUAUAUUAUAUGUAUGUGUCUGGUUGUGAUAUUGAAGGUAUCAUGUUGAUUA
This is a long non-coding RNA of Zingiber officinale, 1897 nucleotides long. RefSeq lists it as uncharacterized. The record is from RefSeq and is a predicted model, not a curated record. The transcript has 2 exons. NCBI's taxonomy places the organism in Eukaryota, Viridiplantae, Streptophyta, Magnoliopsida, Zingiberales, Zingiberaceae.